This is a non-coding RNA of Podarcis lilfordi (Lilford's wall lizard), 82 nucleotides long. Lineage: Eukaryota; Metazoa; Chordata; Lepidosauria; Squamata; Lacertidae. The record is from the annotation of a GenBank genome assembly.
UGUAUUACUAGGUCAAUUGGUUAGAGCAUGGUGCUGAUAAUGCCCAGGUUGCAGGUUCGAUCUCCAUAUUCCUGCAUUGCAG